Molecule: ribosomal RNA, 562 nt
Filed under: Eremias acutirostris
Lineage: Eukaryota; Metazoa; Chordata; Lepidosauria; Squamata; Lacertidae
Description: partial 16S ribosomal RNA
Rfam family: Bacterial large subunit ribosomal RNA
Source: RNAcentral
CCAACUGUUUACCAAAAACAUAGCCUUUAGCUUUACAAGUAUUAAAGGUCCUGCCUGCCCAGUGACUCUCUUAAACGGCCGCGGUAUCCUAACCGUGCAAAGGUAGCAUAAUCACUUGUCCCCUAAAUAGGGACUAGAAUGAACGGCUAAAUGAGGACUUAACUGUCUCUUGCAGAAGGCCAAUGAAACUGAUCUUCCAGUCCAUAAGCUGAAAUAUUAUCAUAAGACGAGAAGACCCUGUGGAGCUUUAAACCUCGACCACCAAACAUGUUCCUCCUGGUUUUUAGUUGGGGCGACUUCGGGGUACAAAACAACCUCCGACAAAACACCAUGUCGAGAUCCACACAUCAAAACAACCACUUGACCCAGUAGUUUUAACUAAACUAUCUGACCAAUGAACCAAGUUACCCCAGGGAUAACAGCGCUAUCCCCUUCUAGAGUCCUUAUCGACAAGGGGGCUUACGACCUCGAUGUUGGAUCAGGAGACCCUGAUAGUGCAACCGCUAUCAAGGGUUCGUUUGUUCAACGAUUAAUAAUCCUACGUGAUCUGAGUUCAGACCGG